RNAcentral lists this ribosomal RNA (501 nucleotides) under uncultured Glomus. RNAcentral's name for it is "SSU rRNA". It matches the Rfam family "Eukaryotic small subunit ribosomal RNA", at positions 569 to 1074 of the family's 1831-position model. Lineage: Eukaryota; Fungi; Glomeromycota; Glomeromycetes; Glomerales; Glomeraceae. The record is from RNAcentral.
AGCAGCCGCGGUAAUUCCAGCUCCAAUAGCGUAUAUUAAAGUUGUUGCAGUUAAAAAGCUCGUAGUUGAAUUUCGGGAUCAAUAUGUUGGUCGUGCCUUGGUACGUACUGGCAUUAUCGAUUCCUAUCUUCUGAAGAACCUCGAUGUCAUUAAUUUGGUGUCUUGGGGAAUCGGGACUGUUACUUUGAAAAAUUAGAGUGUUUAAAGCAGGCUCGCGCUUGAAUACAUUAGCAUGGAAUAAUGAAAUAGGACGUUUGAUUCUAUUUUGUUGGUUUCUAGGAUCGACGUAAUGAUUAAUAGGGAUAGUUGGGGGCAUUAGUAUUCAAUUGUCAGAGGUGAAAUUCUUGGAUUUAUUGAAGACUAACUACUGCGAAAGCAUUUGCCAAGGAUGUUUUCAUUAAUCAAGAACGAAAGUUAGGGGAUCGAAGACGAUCAGAUACCGUCGUAGUCUUAACCAUAAACUAUGCCGACUAGGGAUCGGAUGAUGUUAAUUUUUAAUGA